GGAGGAGCUCGCUUACUAUCAGCUUGUUGGUAGGGUAAUGGCCUACCAAGGCUAUAGACGGUUAGGGGGUGUGAGAGCAUGACCCCCAGCAUUGGCACUGAAACACUGGCCAAACACCUACGGGUAGCUGCAGUCGAGAAUCUUCCACAAUGGGGGAAACCCUGAUGGAGCGAUGCUGCGUAGCGGGAUGAAGGCCUUCGGGUAGUAAACCGCUUUUGUAGGGGACGAAAUUUUUGACGGUACCCUUUCGAAUAAGAGGUUGCUAACUCUAGUGCCAGCAGCAGCGGUAAUACAGAGACCUCAAGCGUUAUCCGGAUUUACUGGGCGUAAGGCGUCUGUAGGGGGUUUAUUAAGUUCCAAGUAAAUCUCAAGGCUCAACUUUGAAUUCGCUUGGAAAACUGAUAAACUGGAAUCUAGCAGAGGUGCAUGGAACUUGUGGUGUAGGAGUGAAAUCCGUUGAUAUCACAAGGAACACCAAAGGCGAAGGCAUUGCACUGGGCUAGCACUGACCCUGAGAGACGGAAGCGUGGGGAGCAAAACGGAUUAGAUACCCGUGUAGUCCACGCCCUAAACGAUGAAUGCUAAAUGUUCGGGGAUUCGACCCCCUGGGUGUUACAGCUAACGCGUUAAGCAUUCCGCCUGGGAAGUACGGCCGCAAGGCUAAAACUCAAAGGAAUAGACGGGGAUCCGCACAAGCGGUGGAGCGUCUGGUUUAAUUCGACAGUAAGCGUGGUACCUCACCAGGGUUUGACAUCCCUUGACAGCCUUGGAAACAAGGUUUCCUUCGGGCAAGGUGACAGGUGCUGCAUGGUCGUCGUCAGUUCGUGCCGUGAGGUGUUCCGUUAAGUCGGGAAACGAACGAAACCCCUAUUGCAUGUUACAAUUUCUCAUGCAAGACUGCCCGGAUAUACUGGGAGGAAGGUGGGGAUGACGUCAGAUCUGCAUGGUCCUUAUACCCUGGGCGACACAGGCGCUACAAUGGCAGAGACAAAGGGUUGCAAAACCGCAAGGUGAAGCUAAUCCCAAAAACUUUGUCUAAGUUCGGAUUGAAGGCUGCAAUUCGCCUUCAUGAAGCUGGAAUCGCUAGUAAUCGUGAAUCAGCCACGUCACGGUGAAUAUGUUCCCGGAUCUUGUACUCACCGCCCGUCACACCAAGAGAGUUGGUAGCUCCCGAAGCGUCCCGUUUUAGCGGGCAUCACGGAGAGAUCAGCGAUAGGGGUGAAGUCG
RNAcentral lists this ribosomal RNA (1227 nucleotides) under uncultured organism. Its description in RNAcentral is "bacterial SSU rRNA". It matches the Rfam family "Bacterial small subunit ribosomal RNA", at positions 223 to 1488 of the family's 1533-position model. The record is from RNAcentral.